GGCUAUAUAACACUAAAGCACCGGUUCCCAUAUGAUCACCGAAGUUAAGCAACUUCGAGACUUGUCUGUACCUAAAUGAGUGACCGUCUGGGAAUACUCAGAGCU
Acanthosepion pharaonis is the source of this 105-nucleotide non-coding RNA. The record is from the annotation of a GenBank genome assembly. NCBI's taxonomy places the organism in Eukaryota, Metazoa, Mollusca, Cephalopoda, Sepiida, Sepiidae.